Molecule: ribosomal RNA, 102 nt
Filed under: Pseudomonas putida
Lineage: Bacteria; Pseudomonadati; Pseudomonadota; Gammaproteobacteria; Pseudomonadales; Pseudomonadaceae
Also listed under: 2 other names
Source: RNAcentral
CAUUGGAACCACCUGAUCCCAUCCCGAACUCAGCAGUGAAACGAUGCAUCGCCGAUGGUAGUGUGGGGUUUCCCCAUGUGAGAGUAGGUCAUCGUCAAGAUU